UACAGAGGUCCCAAGCGUUACUGAGAAUCACUGGGUUUAAAGGGUGCGUAGGUGGCACGUUAAGUCAGUUGUGAAAUCCCCGGGCUCAACCCGGGAACUGCUUCUGAUACUGGCGUGCUUGAGGCCAGUAGGGGUCACUAGAACUGACGGUGGAGCGGUGAAAUGCGUAGAUAUCGUCAGGAAUGCCGGUGGUGAAGACGGGUGACUGGGCUGGUUCUGACACUGAGGCACGAAAGCCAGGGGAGCGAACGGG
This 253-nucleotide ribosomal RNA is filed under the name uncultured bacterium. Its description in RNAcentral is "partial 16S ribosomal RNA". It matches the Rfam family "Bacterial small subunit ribosomal RNA", at positions 524 to 776 of the family's 1533-position model. The record is from RNAcentral.